RNAcentral lists this ribosomal RNA (507 nucleotides) under uncultured archaeon. RNAcentral's name for it is "bacterial SSU rRNA". It matches the Rfam family "Archaeal small subunit ribosomal RNA", at positions 474 to 981 of the family's 1478-position model. The record is from RNAcentral.
UACCCGCGGCCCAAGUGGUGGUCGAUAUUAUUGAGCCUAAAACGUCCGUAGCCGGUCUUGUAAAUCCUUGGGUAAAUCGACCAGCUCAACUGUUCGAAGUCCGGGGAGACUGCAAGACUUGGGAUCGGGAGAGGUGAGAGGUACUUCUGGGGUAGGGGUAAAAUCCUGUAAUCCUAGAAGGACCACCGGUGGCGAAGGCGUCUCACUAGAACGAAUCCGACGGUGAGGGACGAAGCCCUGGGGCGCAAACGGGAUUAGAUACCCCGGUAGUCCAGGGUGUAAACGCUGCGGGCUUGGUGUUGGGGGUCCUUUGAGGGCGCCCAGUGCCGGAGAGAAGUUGUUAAGCCUGCUGCUUGGGGAGUACGUCCGCAAGGAUGAAACUUAAAGGAAUUGGCGGGGGAGCACCGCAACGGGAGGAGCGUGCGGUUCAAUUGGAUUCAACGCCGGACAACUCACCAGGAGCGACGGUUACAUGAAGGCCAGGCUGAUGACCUUGCCUGAUUUUCC